RNAcentral lists this small RNA (164 nucleotides) under Chrysemys picta bellii (western painted turtle). RNAcentral's name for it is "TUC338 (ENSCPBG00000010877.1)". The record is from RNAcentral. Lineage: Eukaryota; Metazoa; Chordata; Testudines; Emydidae.
CUGGCAGCGCAGGAGACAGAAGUCCUCUCUUUAUCCAGAGAAGAGGUACAUCACUAGCAGUUGUGGUGCAAGCUUCCCCAUGUACUUCAGCCCUUAUCUGAAGGAACCAUUUUUGGGGAUAGUGGGUAACUCAGUUUCCAUGGCUGAUCCAAGCCUUGCAGGCU